Long non-coding RNA from Prosopis cineraria, 716 nucleotides. RefSeq lists it as uncharacterized. The transcript has 2 exons. Lineage: Eukaryota; Viridiplantae; Streptophyta; Magnoliopsida; Fabales; Fabaceae. The record is from RefSeq and is a predicted model, not a curated record.
AAUCAGCUGCUUUGGAGCUUGUCUUUCUCCAAUCUAUCAUCUGAAAACCGAAGAGUAGUUGAGAAGAACGCGAGAACUUCAUCCACGUCUGCCUACUUCCUCCUUCAUGCCUGAAUGCCGAGAUGGCCUCAAAAUACCUGACUGCUCAUCGUCGGUUUUGGUGAUUUGAAGUUGAAAUUGAGGAAACAUCGAGUGCUUCGUUUUGAGGUAAAUCACCGCCAUUUAGUGUCAAUGUGGUGGCGUUUAAGGGAAUCGGGAUUCAACUCUCUCUCUGUUUUUCCCCCCUUCUUUUGGGCUGUUGAUUGCAACAGAUUUGAGCUCUGUAUGAUUGGGAAAAUGAAGUGAAAAGGUGCUGAAAUUCUGAUUUUGGUUGCGUGCACAAGGGUGUGGCUCUUUCAUCACACUUUCGAUUUCGGAAUUGUUGGGGCUGAUAUAGGCAUUGUAUUUGCACGACUGUCAUUAAUUCCGGAAGAAUCUCAAUGAACUUGGAAGCUUAAUUGAAGGGAAGAGGAAGUGUCUAUCUGAAUCAUUGGAGGUAAUUCCUCACCAUCUUGGCAUCAAAUUCUGAUUGUGCUUUGAGCAUUUGGAAUUUUCUUCGAAUCUGUUCUGUAUGGAUGUACUCCUGCAGCAAAUUGAAGCGUAAAAUCAAUGAUGAACUGGGAGGAAAUGGGAGUAUUGAAGUGCUUUAACUGCGGCAAUCAUAUUAGUUUUUGAAA